GACGAACGCUGGCGGCGUGCCUAAUACAUGCAAGUAGAACGCUGAAGAGAGGAGCUUGCUCUUCUUGGAUGAGUUGCGAACGGGUGAGUAACGCGUAGGUAACCUGCCUUGUAGCGGGGGAUAACUAUUGGAAACGAUAGCUAAUACCGCAUAACAAUGGAUGACACAUGUCAUUUAUUUGAAAGGGGCAAUUGCUCCACUACAAGAUGGACCUGCGUUGUAUUAGCUAGUAGGUGAGGUAAUGGCCCACCUAGGCGGCGAUACAUAGCCGACCUGAGAGGGUGAGCGGCCACACUGGGACUGAGACACGGCCCAGACUCCUACGGGAGGCAGCAGUAGGGAAUCUUCGGCAAUGGGGGCAACCCUGACCGAGCAACGCCGCGUGAGUGAAGAAGGUUUUCGGAUCGUAAAGCUCUGUUGUAAGUCAAGAACGGGUGUGGGAGUGGAAAGUUCACACUGUGACGGUAGCUUACCAGAAAGGGACGGCUAACUACGUG
RNAcentral lists this ribosomal RNA (497 nucleotides) under uncultured bacterium. RNAcentral's name for it is "partial 16S ribosomal RNA". It matches the Rfam family "Bacterial small subunit ribosomal RNA", at positions 28 to 507 of the family's 1533-position model. The record is from RNAcentral.